UGGGGAAUAUUGGACAAUGGGCGAAAGCCUGAUCCAGCAAUGCCGCGUGUGUGAAGAAGGCCUUAGGGUUGUAAAGCACUUUCAGCAGAGAAGAAAAGUGCAGGGCUAAUACCCCUGUACCUUGACGUAACCUGCAGAAGAAGCACCGGCUAACUCCGUGCCAGCAGCCGCGGUAAUACGGAGGGUGCAAGCGUUAAUCGGAAUUACUGGGCGUAAAGCGCGCGUAGGCGGUUUGAUAAGUCGGGUGUGAAAGCCCCGGGCUUAACUUGGGAAUGGCAUUCGAUACUGUCAAGCUAGAGUAUGGUAGAGGGAAGCGGAAUUCCGCAUGUAGCGGUGAAAUGCGUAGAUAUGCGGAGGAACACCAGUGGCGAAGGCGGCUUCCUGGAUCAAUACUGACGCUGAGGCGCGAAAGCGUGGGGAGCAAACAGGAUUAGAUACCCCCGUAGUCC
RNAcentral lists this ribosomal RNA (449 nucleotides) under uncultured bacterium. RNAcentral describes it as "bacterial SSU rRNA". It matches the Rfam family "Bacterial small subunit ribosomal RNA", at positions 355 to 796 of the family's 1533-position model. The record is from RNAcentral.